Molecule: ribosomal RNA, 403 nt
Filed under: uncultured bacterium
Lineage: Bacteria
Description: bacterial SSU rRNA
Rfam family: Bacterial small subunit ribosomal RNA
Source: RNAcentral
GACGAACGCUGGCGGCGUGCUUAACACAUGCAAGUCGCGCGAGAAAAAUGGGGGGCAACCCCAUGAGUACAGCGGCGCACGGGUGAGUAAUACGUAGGUAAUCUACCUUCAGGACCGGGAUAACCUUCCGAAAGGAGGGCUAAUACUGGAUAAGACCACGGAGCUUAGGCUCUGCGGUUAAAGGUGGCCUCUGCUCGCAAGCUACCACCAGAAGAUGAGCCUGCGCACCAUAGCUAGUUGGCGAGGUAACGGCUCACCAAGGCGAAGAUGGUUAGCUGAUCUGAGAGGAUGAUCAGCCACACUGGGACUGAGACACGGCCCAGACUCCUACGGGAGGCAGCAGUGGGGAAUCUUGGACAAUGGGGAAACCCUGAUCAGCGACGCCGCGUGGGUGAUGAAGGCC